CCACUGGAUGAGGGGCCUGCGUAGCAUCAGCUAGUUGGUGGGGUAAUGGCCUACCAAGGCGAAGACGCUUAGCUGGUCUGAGAGGAUGAUCAGCCACACUGGGACUGAGACACGGCCCAGACUCCUACGGGAGGCAGCAGUGGGGAAUAUUGGACAAUGGGCGCAAGCCUGAUCCAGCCACGCCGCGUGAGUGAUGAAGGCCUUCGGGUCGUAAAGCUCUGUGGGGAGGGACGAACGGCGCCAUGAAGAGUGGCGAUUGACGGUACUCCUUAGCAAGCACCGGCUAACUUCGUGCCAGCAGCCGCGGUAAUACGAAGGGUGCAAACGUUGCUCGGAAUCAUUGGGCGUAAAGCGCACGUAGGCGGCUUUCUAAGUCGGAUGUGAAAUCCCUCGGCUUAACCGAGGACGUGCAUCCGAAACUGGGAGGCUUGAGUAUGGAAGAGGGUCGCAGAAUUCCCGGUGUAGAGGUGAAAUUCGUAGAUAUCGGGAGG
Molecule: ribosomal RNA, 491 nt
Filed under: uncultured bacterium
Lineage: Bacteria
Description: bacterial SSU rRNA
Rfam family: Bacterial small subunit ribosomal RNA
Source: RNAcentral